This 78-nucleotide transfer RNA is filed under the name Candidatus Woesearchaeota archaeon. RNAcentral describes it as "tRNA-Pro". Lineage: Archaea; Nanobdellati; Candidatus Woesearchaeota. The record is from RNAcentral.
GGGGCUGUGGGGUAGUUUGGUCCAUCCUUUCUGGUUUGGGCCCUAAAGGUUUGAGGAAUUCGAAUCCGGGCAGCCCCA